RNAcentral lists this ribosomal RNA (549 nucleotides) under uncultured bacterium. RNAcentral's name for it is "bacterial SSU rRNA". It matches the Rfam family "Bacterial small subunit ribosomal RNA", at positions 355 to 896 of the family's 1533-position model. The record is from RNAcentral.
UAGGGAAUCUUCCGCAAUGGACGCAAGUCUGACGGAGCAACGCCGCGUGAGUGAAGAAGGUUUUCGGAUCGUAAAGCUCUGUUGUAAGAGAAGAACGAGUGUGAGAGUGGAAAGUUCACACUGUGACGGUAUCUUACCAGAAAGGGACGGCUAACUACGUGCCAGCAGCCGCGGUAAUACGUAGGUCCCGAGCGUUGUCCGGAUUUAUUGGGCGUAAAGCGAGCGCAGGCGGUUAGAUAAGUCUGAAGUUAAAGGCUGUGGCUUAACCAUAGUACGCUUUGGAAACUGUUUAACUUGAGUGCAGAAGGGGAGAGUGGAAUUCCAUGUGUAGCGGUGAAAUGCGUAGAUAUAUGGAGGAACACCGGUGGCGAAAGCGGCUCUCUGGUCUGUAACUGACGCUGAGGCUCGAAAGCGUGGGGAGCAAACAGGAUUAGAUACCCUGGUAGUCCACGCCGUAACGAUGAGUGCUAGGUGUUGGGUCCUUUCCGGGACUCAGUGCCGCAGCUAACGCAUUAAGCACUCCGCCUGGGGAGUACGACCGCAAGGUUG